CCGGAGCUUGCUCCACCGGAAAAAGAGGAGUGGCGAACGGGUGAGUAACACGUGGGUAACCUGCCCAUCAGAAGGGGAUAACACUUGGAAACAGGUGCUAAUACCGUAUAACAAUCGAAACCGCAUGGUUUUGAUUUGAAAGGCGCUUUCGGGUGUCGCUGAUGGAUGGACCCGCGGUGCAUUAGCUAGUUGGUGAGGUAACGGCUCACCAAGGCCACGAUGCAUAGCCGACCUGAGAGGGUGAUCGGCCACAUUGGGGCUGAGACACGGCCCAAACUCCUACGGGAGGCAGCAGUAGGGAAUCUUCGGCAAUGGACGAAAGUCUGACCGAGCAACGCCGCGUGAGUGAAGAAGGUUUUCGGAUCGUAAAACUCUGCUGUUAGAGAAGAACAAGGAUGAGAGUAACUGUUCAUCCCUUGACGGUAUCUAACCAGAAAGCCACGGCUAACUACGUGCCAGCAGCCGCGGUAAUACGUAGGUGGCAAGCGUUGUCCGGAUUUAUUGGGCGUAAAGCGAGCGCAAGCGGUUUCUUAAGUCUGAUGUGAAAGCCCCCGGCUCAACCGGGGAGGGUCAUUGGAAACUGGGAGACUUGAGUGCAGAAGAGGAGAGUGGAAUUCCAUGUGUAGCGGUGAAAUGCGUAGAUAUAUGGAGGAACACCAGUGGCGAAGGCGGCUCU
RNAcentral lists this ribosomal RNA (676 nucleotides) under uncultured Bacilli bacterium. Its description in RNAcentral is "bacterial SSU rRNA". It matches the Rfam family "Bacterial small subunit ribosomal RNA", at positions 73 to 728 of the family's 1533-position model. Lineage: Bacteria; Bacillati; Bacillota; Bacilli. The record is from RNAcentral.